UACGGAGGGGGCUAGCGUUAUUCGGAAUUAUUGGGCGUAAAGGGCGCGUAGGCGGCUUUGCAAGUGACGGGUGAAAUCCCUCGGCUUAACCGAGGAACUGCCUGUCAGACUGUGAGGCUUGAGACCGGGAGAGGUGAGUGGAACUCCCAGUGUAGCGGUGAAAUGCGUAGAUAUUGGGAGGAACACCAGUGGCGAAGGCGGCUCACUGGACCGGAACUGACGCUGAGGCGCGAAAGCGUGGGGAGCAAACAGG
Molecule: ribosomal RNA, 253 nt
Filed under: uncultured bacterium
Lineage: Bacteria
Description: partial 16S ribosomal RNA
Rfam family: Bacterial small subunit ribosomal RNA
Source: RNAcentral